This 403-nucleotide ribosomal RNA is filed under the name Fusobacteriota bacterium. RNAcentral describes it as "Fusobacteria bacterium partial 16S ribosomal RNA". It matches the Rfam family "Bacterial small subunit ribosomal RNA", at positions 355 to 776 of the family's 1533-position model. Lineage: Bacteria; Fusobacteriati; Fusobacteriota. The record is from RNAcentral.
UGGGGAAUAUUGCACAAUGGAGGGAACUCUGAUGCAGCGACGCCGCGUGAACGAAGAAGGCAUUCGAGUCGUAAAGUUCUUUUAUAUGGGAAGAUAAUGACGGUACCAUAAGAAAAAGCCCCGGCUAACUACGUGCCAGCAGCCGCGGUAAUACGUAGGGGGCUAGCGUUGUCCGGAAUCACUGGGCGUAAAGGGUUCGCAGGCGGAAAUGCAAGUCAGGUGUAAAAGGCAGUAGCUUAACUACUGUAAGCAUUUGAAACUGCAUAUCUUGAGAAGAGUAGAGGUAAGUGGAAUUUUUAGUGUAGCGGUGAAAUGCGUAGAUAUUAAAAAGAAUACCGGUGGCGAAGGCGACUUACUGGGCUCAUACUGACGCUGAGGAACGAAAGCGUGGGUAGCAAACAGG